Molecule: non-coding RNA, 113 nt
Organism: Myotis lucifugus (little brown bat)
Lineage: Eukaryota; Metazoa; Chordata; Mammalia; Chiroptera; Vespertilionidae
Source: Rfam
UUCUUUGUUAAUUGUCAGCUGCUUUUACCCAGCAAACACUAUAGAAAUGUUUGAACAGUUGGAUUUCAAACAUUUUUGUUUUGUGGAGUGGUGCAACUCUAAGCAAACGAACA